This is a long non-coding RNA of Prionailurus viverrinus (fishing cat), 3092 nucleotides long. RefSeq lists it as uncharacterized. NCBI's taxonomy places the organism in Eukaryota, Metazoa, Chordata, Mammalia, Carnivora, Felidae. The transcript has 4 exons. The record is from RefSeq and is a predicted model, not a curated record.
GCAGGGACAGAUCAUGACCUUUUAAUCAGAAUAGGCUUAGAUUGAGUUUUUUGGUACAAAAUAAAUUUCGCUUCUAGUAGGAUUUGCCAGAGACCACCCUGGGGGAAGGUUCGAUGGUUCAUUUGGAGAUCUUGGGAUUUGGAGUCAGGUUCAUUUGUACACAAGCACAGGAGGACACCAGCCCCAUGCGAAGCCCAGGGGUCAUACUCGUUCUUCUGUAGAAGGUUAUCUGCAUAAUUUUGUGACACCUGAACUGUGUGUAUUCCUUCAGGUAGACAUUCCUGAAAUCUCUACUUGGGCUAAUGGCCUUUCCUCUGAGUUCCCUUCUGCUGUCAUGAUCAACACAGUGAGUGGAAUAGGAGGAUCUCAAUAUGUGAGAGAAUAGAGUUGCAGCUAACUGCUCAGAAACUGUACAUCACUAAAGCCCAACAACCAAGUGAGAGAGACUGCUACUGAUGGGUCAAUAACAACUGUGGAGAUUCUGAAUCAUUGGAGCGCUCGACAAAAGAAAGCUAAUGGAUGAUGUGAAAAUCCACAUAUGCCCAUGAGAGUAUAUUGAGCACAUAAAUGUUGUUGCUUGGUGUGUUCCUGAGAAGAGACAUUUGAGAACCACUGUUUUGGAGUCAGAAGCAGCACAGAAGAAUUCAUUUCAGCUCCAAAUGGGUUAUUUAACCACUGGCUGUCAGACAUGUAGACAGCGUCAUGUUUUAGUUUGACCUAGAUUUGUAAUGGGAUGCGCCUAAUUCCUUCAAUGAAAUGAAACUUUAAUGAAUCUUUAGGUAGAACUCUUAAGUGCCAAAAAACCAUUUUCCCAGAGCUAGUGUGAACUUCUUGACAAACUAAAGAAUUUACUCUUUUUGAGCCAAGAGGAAACCUCUGUUUGUUAUACACUCCCAUGCCAUUUGAUUAUUGAGGGAGAAGGAAUGGGAGCGGUAUCCAAAACAGAUGGGAAGGUGAGCACCACGUGCUUAUUGUCCCUGGGAGUGGACCCUUCCUUGCCCUCAAUGUAUGUGCUAAAUGAAGUCGGAUGUGGUCAGUCAAGUGGUUGUAGCUAAAUUAGACUGUUCAUGGGAAUCAGCUUCUUUGGCCUAUUACAGAGACCUUAAAUACCAUUUUAUAAAUCCUGAAAAUAAGUCUUUCUCUAGAUAAACAUCAGUAAAGCAAGGAUUGGGGGGAUACUAAUAAACACCUUACAUUUAUAGAGAUCUUAUAGAUUUUAUACUUGGAAAAAAUACUAUUUUGUAACCUGACAUGGCAGCCAAUACAGGAAAACCAAUGAAAGAUUCACAUGCAGGGAGAGUAGUGUUCCUACAGCAGGAAAUAAUUAUGGUCAGCCAUGUGGGAGUAGAGUCAUCCCAAAGUUAGCUGACUACAGUGGAUUAAGUUCACAUCUGGCUGAUAGAGUCGAUCCAAAAAUGAUUCUGGGAAUGCAGGAAAGCAUUUGACAGGGCUGUGAUUUUGUCUAUCUUUGUGAGCACCAGCUGGCGGUGCUUCAUCCAUGCAUUCAUUAUGACAUCAUUUUAUGGACAAUUCAUGGACCAAGAAGAUCUGAGAAUCCCUGGGGUGAUGGGAAAUGCCACGGACAUCCAUGGUCUUGGAUGCUCAGUGAGUAAACAAUGAUUUUUAAGCAGUUCCCAAGGCCUGAGAAAUAGUUGGUCGUCACCCAGGUCUACACCCUUCAGCAUGAGUUUUCUUGGGGAGGAGCUGGAUAUGUCUGCAAGCCCCAUACUGGCCCCACAUGUCUCUAACUAACUAGAGUAAAUAAAGCUAAUAUGGAGGAGAUUGUCUUGAACUGAACUCUUAUGGAAAAUGUUUGCACGAGGAGUCUGAAUGCUAAGACACUAAUGUCUCAUUUCAUUGGUGCCAGUUAAUGCCCUGUCAUAGCACUGGCAUGCAUAAGGCAUGAGUGCAGUGUUGCUCUGGAAAAACAAAAAGAAAUUCAGAAAAUUCUUACACCUGCAUGCCUAAGCCUUCAUGAUUAUAAUAUUUUAAGCAUUAUAUGGAAAGAUACACUUUCAGCUUAGUAGAUAAUAGGUACAGAUACAUGCACACAUAUAUAUAUUCAUACUCAUAUAUAGAUAUAUAGAGAAUCAUCCAUCUUGGACAUUCAACUGAUUUUUCCUAUAUUAGCUCUCAUAACUCUCAAGAUUCUACAUGAUAUCUAAACUAGGCUUAUUUUCUUCCAUCAUACCUCUAUUCUGCAUUUCCACUCCUACCUCAGCUGAGUAUCACUAUUCUCUGUAAUUCUUGUUUAAGACAACUGAAAAGAUACGAUUAAGUUUCUCUGAAAGAUGUGACCAAUGACUUUGUCCUCUGCCAGCUUUCAGGACUUUGCUUACAUGUCUCUCAUUUUCCAUUCCGUUGCUUCUUGUAGUCAUCAUUAUUUCAGUACACGCUCAAAGAUCUGGAGUGUGCAUCUCAAUACAUGUUACAUUUUGGAAAUGAUCUGUUAGCUUUUAUUUUAGGCAGCUUUGCUUGUGAAAAACAAACCUGAUCUGUAUUUUUCACUUAGGUAACUUGACUUCUCUUUUUGUGACUGAACCCAACCAACCAAAAUUUUCACAUUCAGUGCAUAUUUGUAGUCAGGUAACAAAGGUCUGUAGUCAGUGCAUAUCUGUAGUCAGUUAACAAAAGGGCCAGGUACAGAAAUGAUUGAAUUUGCAAAUUGAUCUCCAGUGCCAUAAUCUCUCCCUUUGGCAGUAAUAUCGCUAGACCUCCAAGUUUAAAAGCUCUGUAUCUCUGGUUAGAGGGCUUACGAGGAAAAUGCUUUUUUGGCCUGUUGAAAUUGUUCUAACUAAAUUCAUUUUACUUCUUGAACUCAUGAUGUCAAGUUAGAUAUUUGCUGAACAUAGAUAAAUGAAUGGUAUUCUCUCAACUAAUAGACAUGCCCUUAGUUCUGAAUGGACCAAUUUCAACAUCAAACAUGUUUAACUUAGCAAACAUAAAUUGACCAUGGGUUUCUUUUGGCAGCUACUAAUUUGUAUGUCUGCUUGUUCACAAGAUGUAUAUUACUCCUUUGUGACCCUGUGCCACAUGAAUCAUAUGAACAUUACUGAUUCUAAUAAAACAUGCUAAGUAUUAAAGCACUGUCA